This 370-nucleotide long non-coding RNA is filed under the name Nicotiana benthamiana. Its description in RNAcentral is "long non-coding RNA (NBEN_LNC002055)". The record is from RNAcentral. Lineage: Eukaryota; Viridiplantae; Streptophyta; Magnoliopsida; Solanales; Solanaceae.
UUUAUUUUCUUUGCAGGUCUUGACCAUUGAUGGUGGGAUGGUUAUGUAGAAGUGUAGAAACUCCGUAUUUUGUUUGCUCACAGAGAAGAAUUGGAAGGGUGAUUAUUUAGGUUCCACCCGGGCUGUAGCCUCAUUCUAUGCCUGAGGAAAAGGAACUUAUUAAUUUAGUGGUAGGAGAUGGCCGGACGUACUGUUUUCUGCAUUUUCUCCUCUUCUUUACCAUUUUGCUGGCUGAGUAAGCUUUUUUUGGAAAUCUUUGAAACAGGGUUUUAUUUUUUGUUUUCGUUUCUAUAUCAAAGUUUUAAAACCUAAAAUGUUGUAAUUGCUUGAAUGUUGAUGCAUGUUUUGGCAAUAUUGGUGUACUUCCUUU